GAUGAACGCUGGCGGCGUGCCUAAUACAUGCAAGUCGAGCGAACAGACGAGGAGCUUGCUCCUCUGACGUUAGCGGCGGACGGGUGAGUAACACGUGGAUAACCUACCUAUAAGACUGGGAUAACUUCGGGAAACCGGAGCUAAUACCGGAUAAUAUAUUGAACCGCAGGGUUCAAUAGUGAAAGACGGUUUUGCUGUCACUUAUAGAUGGAUCCGCGCCGCAUUAGCUAGUUGGUAAGGUAACAGCUUACCAAGGCAACGAUGCGUAGCCGACCUGAGAGGGUGAUCGGCCACACUGGAACUGAGACACGGUCCAGACUCCUACGGGGGGCAGCAGUAGGGAAUCUUCCGCAAUGGGCGAAAGCCUGACGGAGCAACGCCGCGUGAGUGAUGAAGGUCUUCGGAUCGUAAAACUCUGUUAUUAGGGAAGAACAAAUGUGUAAGUAACUAUGCACGUCUUGACGGUACCUAAUCAGAAAGCCACGGCUAACUACGUG
Molecule: ribosomal RNA, 497 nt
Filed under: uncultured bacterium
Lineage: Bacteria
Description: partial 16S ribosomal RNA
Rfam family: Bacterial small subunit ribosomal RNA
Source: RNAcentral